UGGGGAAUAUUGCACAAUGGGCGCAAGCCUGAUGCAGCCAUGCCGCGUGUGUGAAGAAGGCCUUCGGGUUGUAAAGCACUUUCAGCGGGGAGGAAGGCGUUAAGGUUAAUAACCUUGGCGAUUGACGUUACCCGCAGAAGAAGCACCGGCUAACUCCGUGCCAGCAGCCGCGGUAAUACGGAGGGUGCAAGCGUUAAUCGGAAUUACUGGGCGUAAAGCGCACGCAGGCGGUCUGUCAAGUCGGAUGUGAAAUCCCCGGGCGCAACCUGGGAACUGCAUUCGAAACUGGCAGGCUAGAGUAUUGUAGAGGGGGGUAGAAUUCCAGGUGUAGCGGUGAAAUGCGUAGAGAGAUGGAGGAAUACCGGUGGCGAAGGCGGCCCCCUGGACAAAGACUGACGCUCAGGUGCGAAAGCGUGGGGAGCAAACAGG
RNAcentral lists this ribosomal RNA (429 nucleotides) under Chloroflexota bacterium. Its description in RNAcentral is "Chloroflexi bacterium partial 16S ribosomal RNA". It matches the Rfam family "Bacterial small subunit ribosomal RNA", at positions 355 to 776 of the family's 1533-position model. Lineage: Bacteria; Bacillati; Chloroflexota. The record is from RNAcentral.